AUUGAACGCUGGCGGCAUGCCUUACACAUGCAAGUCGAACGGCAGCACGGGGGCAACCCUGGUGGCGAGUGGCGAACGGGUGAGUAAUACAUCGGAAUGUACCCAGUAGUGGGGGAUAACUAGUCGAAAGAUUAGCUAAUACCGCAUACGCACUAUGGUGGAAAGCGGGGGAUCGCAAGACCUCGCGCUAUUGGAGCAGCCGAUGUCCGAUUAGGUAGUUGGUGGGGUAAAGGCCUACCAAGCCUGCGAUCGGUAACUGGUCUGAGAGGACGACCAGUCACACUGGGACUGAGACACGGCCCAGACUCCUACGGGAGGCAGCAGUGGGGAAUUUUGGACAAUGGGGGAAACCCUGAUCCAGCAAUGCCGCGUGUGUGACGAAGGCCUUCGGUUGUAAGCACUUUGUCGGAACGAACGGACGCUUCUAAUACAGAACGCUAAUGACGGUACCCGCAGAAUAAGCACCGGCUAACUACGUGCCAGCAGCCGCGGUAAUGCUACGU
RNAcentral lists this ribosomal RNA (503 nucleotides) under uncultured bacterium. RNAcentral's name for it is "bacterial SSU rRNA". It matches the Rfam family "Bacterial small subunit ribosomal RNA", at positions 30 to 528 of the family's 1533-position model. The record is from RNAcentral.